Molecule: ribosomal RNA, 401 nt
Filed under: uncultured bacterium
Lineage: Bacteria
Description: bacterial SSU rRNA
Rfam family: Bacterial small subunit ribosomal RNA
Source: RNAcentral
CGGCGUGCUUAACACAUGCAAGUCGAACGAACCUUCGGGUUAGUGGCGGACGGGUGAGUAACGCGUGAGAAUCUGCCCUCAGGAGGGGGACAACAGCUGGAAACGGCUGCUAAUACCCCAUAUGCCGCGAGGUGAAAUGAAUUUCGCCUGAGGAUGAGCUCGCGUCUGAUUAGCUAGUUGGUGUAGGUAAUGGCUCACCAAGGCAUCGAUCAGUAGCUGGUCUGAGAGGAUGAUCAGCCACACUGGGACUGAGACACGGCCCAGACUCCUACGGGAGGCAGCAGUGGGGAAUUUUCCGCAAUGGGCGAAAGCCUGACGGAGCAACGCCGCGUGAGGGAUGAAGGCCUCUGGGCUGUAAACCUCUUUUAUCAAGGAAGAAGAUCUGACGGUACUUGAUGAAU